ACAAUUUACAUCUACUACAGGAAAAUGAAUCCAAUUGGCAUGGCAAAAUCAUUCUAUCUGGAGGAGAGAUGCCACAAUGGUUACUCCCAAAUAAAGAGGGUUAUAUAUCUUUCACAAUUUCGAAGCAUUUGUAUUAUCACAUCAAGGUAGCUAUCUGUGUUGUAUGUCAAGUAAAGAAAAGGGAACGGAAAAUUUUUACGCUCAGUUUAUACAUUGAUGGCACAUGCUGGCGUAGGACCUCCAUAUUAUCCGGACCUCGUCAAUUGCAUUCGGAUCAUGUCUAUUUUGAUUUGCUGGAUAUGGACUUGCUAUUCAAUAGAUCCCGUCAUCCAAGACCCGAUUUUGGUCCAAAUGACUCGAGAUCUUUCCAGUUAGGCAUUAAAGCAUCGGCUAGUGUUAUUGUAAAAAAGUGCGGAUUUGGAUUAUUCUGGGAAAAUCGGGGAGAUUUGAUUCGAGAUGACGAGUUGCCAGAUCAAGGAUUGUUCCAUGAGGUUGGGCUUGGCUAUCAAGAAACGACCGAGUAGGAAGAAAUAUCGGCCUCUCUCUCAGAUAUGGAAAAUCAGCGGCGCGUAGACCAUGAAGAUAAUUAUCAAACAAGCUCAGAAGAAGACGAUGAAGAGAAUUAUCAAACAAGCUCAGAAGAAGAUGAUAUUCGACCCAAAGAAAAACAAAGAAAAGACGACGAUAUGGAUAACUCCCCACGCGCCGAUAUGAUGGCUGACUUUUCAGUUGAGUCUUCGCCAUACCAAAAAGAUAAUGAAAACUCAGAGGAAGACUGUACAAGUGAAACAGAAGAAGACUACAGCAGCGA
This is a long non-coding RNA of Eucalyptus grandis, 811 nucleotides long. RefSeq lists it as uncharacterized. The transcript has 3 exons. The record is from RefSeq and is a predicted model, not a curated record. NCBI's taxonomy places the organism in Eukaryota, Viridiplantae, Streptophyta, Magnoliopsida, Myrtales, Myrtaceae.